GACGAACGCUGGCGGCGUGCUUAACACAUGCAAGUCGAACGGAAAGGCCCUGCUUUUGUGGGGUGCUCGAGUGGCGAACGGGUGAGUAACACGUGAGUAACCUGCCCUUGACUUUGGGAGAACUUCAGGAAAAUGGGGCUAAUACCGGAUAGGAGCUCCUGCUGCAUGGUGGGGGUUGGAAAGUUUCGGCGGUUGGGGAUGGACUCGCGGCUUAUCAGCUUGUUGGUGGGGUAGUGGCUUACCAAGGCUUUGACGGGUAGCCGGCCUGAGAGGGUGACCGGCCACAUUGGGACUGAGAUACGGCCCAGACUCCUACGGGAGGCAGCAGUGGGGAAUAUUGCACAAUGGGCGGAAGCCUGAUGCAGCAACGCCGCGUGCGGGAUGACGGCCUUCGGGUUGUAAACCGCUUUCGCCUGUGACGAAGCGUGAGUGACGGUAAUGGGUAAAGAAGCACCGGCUAACUACGUG
This 468-nucleotide ribosomal RNA is filed under the name uncultured bacterium. RNAcentral's name for it is "partial 16S ribosomal RNA". It matches the Rfam family "Bacterial small subunit ribosomal RNA", at positions 28 to 507 of the family's 1533-position model. The record is from RNAcentral.